UUACUAUGGGAGGUGUGCCGCCCGGUGAGUGGCAGGCAGCCACGCGCGGCGCGUGUUUGCGGCGGCUGUUUGGCCGUUGAGCGCCGGUAAGAGCAGGCGGGGCCGGCUCGUGCGGCCAGUGCAGGCAGGGGCCGCCCCUCCCCCUCCGCCGGCGGCUGCGCGACCGUUUGGCCUCGCGCCGGGAGCCAUGUCGGAGUGGGGGUCCUACUAUCGCGGCGAGGGCCCGGAGGAGGACGAGGAGCAGGAGCAGCAGGAGGAGGGGGCCGAAGCGGUCGCGGACUACAAGGUCUCGGGCCGGGACAGCUUGAUUUUCUUAGUCGAUGCCUCUAAGGCCAUGUUUGAGUCCGAGGAGGACGAAGUGACUCCGUUCGACAUGACCAUCCAGUGCAUCCGGAACGUGUAUACUAGCAAAAUUAUUAGUAGUGACAAAGACCUGUUAAGUGUCGUGUUCUACGGUACAGAAAAGAACAAGAACUUAGCAGAUUUCAAGCACAUUUAUGUUCUUCAGGAGCUGGACAAUCCAGGUGCAAAGCGUGUUCUAGAGCUGGACCAAUACAGGGGGCAUAAAGGACAAGCACUUUUCCGUGAGACCUUUGGCCACAAUGCUGACUAUUCACUGGGUGAAGCACUCUGGGCCUGCUCUAAUCUCUUCAGUGAUGUCCGCAUCAGACUGAGCCACAAAAGGAUCAUGCUCUUCACCAACGAGGAUGACCCUCAUGCCAGUGACAGUGCUAAAGCCAAGCUGGCCAGGACCAGAGCUGGGGAUCUCAGAGACACAGGUAUCAUCCUGGAUUUGAUGCACUUGAAGAAGCCUGGAGGGUUUGAUAUCUCUUUGUUCUACAGGGAUAUCAUAAAUGUAGCAGAGGAUGAGGACCUUGGUAUCCAGCCUGAGGAGUCAGGGAAACUGGAGCAUCUCAGGAAGAAAGUACGAGCAAAGGAGACAAAGAAACGGGUUUUAGUCAGGUUAAAUCUGUAUUUGAACAAAGAUCUGUCGCUUUCUGUUGGUGUUUACAACCUUCUUCAAAAAGCUUAUAAGCCAUACCCCGUGAAGCUUUAUCGGGAAACUAAUGAACCAGUUAAAACGAAAACAAGGAUGUUUAAUGGAAAAACAGGCAGCUUGCUCGUGCCAAGUGACACAAAAAGAGCUCAGACAUAUGGAAACCGCCAGAUUGUGCUGGAGAAAGACGAAACAGAAGAAUUAAAACGGUUUGAUUCUCCAGGCUUGUUUCUGAUUGGCUUCAAACCACUUUCUAUGCUAAAACUGCACCACCAUGUCAGACCCUCCCAGUUCAUCUAUCCUGAAGAGUCUGUAAUAAGUGGGAGUACGACGCUAUUUAAUGCCUUAUUGAUGAAAUGCUUGGAGAAGGAGGUGAUGGCACUGUGCAGAUACACCACCCGGAGGAACACUCCCCCUCGCUUCGUGGCCCUGGUUCCCCAGGAGGAAGAGGUGGAUGAGCAGAAAGUGCAGAUAGCUCCUCCAGGUUUCCACAUAAUUUUCUUACCAUACGCAGAUGACAAACGGAACGUUGAUUUUACAGAAAAGGUGCCAGCCAGUCGAGAGCAGGUAGACAAAAUGAAGGAAAUAAUUCAAAAACUCCGAUUCAGAUACAGGACUGACAGCUUUGAGAACCCAGUUUUGCAGCAGCACUUCAGGAAUUUGGAGGCUUUGGCACUGGAUAUGUUGGAACCAGAACAAGCUGAGGAUCUUACAAGUGAGAAUUAUUGUGCCAAAGAAUGAAGAGAUGAACCGCAGGCUGGGCAGCCUGGUGGAGGAGUUUAAGCAACUGGUUUAUCCCCCUGACUACAAUCCUGAUGGGAAGGGUGUAAAGCGAAAACAAGCUUCUGAUGGUCAAGCUGACAAGAGGCCCAAGGUAGAAAUCUCGAAAGAUGAGCUGCGGAGACAUGUGCAGAAGGGCACUCUAGGCAAGCUCACGGUACCUGUUCUGAAGGACGCAUGCAGGCUUUACGGGCUGAAGGGUGGGGGGAAAAAGCAGGAGCUCAUGGACGCGCUAACUGAAUACUUUAACGAACACUAAGCAGGAGCAGAAGACCCUGGCUGACUUCUGUCUGCUUAAAGUUUUGGUUGUCUUACGUGGAUGUUCUGUCCGUUUAAUCUUGCUAUGGAGGAGAAGGCAACUUAAUGUUGCUGAAUCCAGCAGUGGAGAAACUUCUUACUCUUAGUUGUAGAAACUUCUCUGCAAAGUUUGAUUCUGUUCACAGUAGCCAAAGGCAGAGUUAAAUUCUCUGCUAACUCAGGUCACCCACCGCAGGUAAACACAGUUGUGCCUUCCUGGUUUCUUAAAAGAAGUUAUUUUGGACUUAUUUUGCAACAAUGGCUAUACCAUAUUUGCAUCAUAAAGGUGGCAAAACUCACUUCAGUGUAAGAAAACAGAAUGAUCUGUUUUACUGACGCUGCAUGAAUUCAAACAGCAGGUCAAGUCCGUGUAAUAACAGAGGGUAUAAAUGUGUUGCAUUACUCCUGCUCUCCAAAACAGCCUGUCAGUAUCAGUACUUGUAAUCAAAUUGGGCUGUUUUUCAUCAUUGGUGUUAAAAAGAUCACCAGCAGAUCAUAAAGGAGAAAAUAAUUACUAGGAAGCAGUAGCCAGUCUUUUGGGAAAAAAGCCAGAAUUUCAUAAAGCUGCACAGCUAGGUCUUUCAUUUUUAAACAGUAAGAGCAAAAGUUAGCUUAAAAAAAGCAGAGAAAAAAAAAAAGAAAAAGUCAUGUUUCCUGGAAGCCUACAAGCACUUACCUCAAUUAAAUUACUGAGAUGGCAGCGAGGUUUUCCACCUCUGUAGUGACUAUGGGCCAGACUGUCAUGCAGGCUUCUGUACUCAAAUCUGUGCUUCAAAAAUUUUUAAAAAAAGCAAGUUGUGGAGAGUAGCCCUUGUUACUUCCAGUAUUAAUUUUUAAUCAUACUUAUGGAGGCUGCAUCUGGGGCUGUCCGUGUUUUGGUUUUUAAACUUCCAUGCCUGGCAGGCCUCACUUGUCUUGCAGUGCCAGAUGAUUAAACCCAAUAGUCAUUGCCCUUGCUCUAGAAAGCCGUUCUUAUUGUUUAGCUAAACUCUUCCUACGGGAUGCAAACAUGGUAUACAUGAUGUAUCAGUUUUGGUCUGUAUGGUGUUUUUAGGUAUUCCUGUGUUUGGCACACAAACUAUUGGGCAACUUAUCGAAGAAUUAAGUCAUAUAUUAAGGUCAUGCCCAGGCUGUAAUGUGGCCCAUGUAUGGGAGCCAGCUAUGAAUGCUCUCUUGGUGGUGGGAACACUCUGGCUAUGCCAGCACACUGCUUGCUUCCACCUCCACACGGCUCCUCUCAAAGGAGCAGUUAGCCUGUGGUGAGCUCUGCAGUGUUGAAGCUUGUGUCUAUUAUACUUUCCGUCGUUAUUUUUAAUAAACAUUUGUCUAAGCAAUCAAUUUAUUUUGCCCUUUGGUAAAGAAGUUACCGUCAAUGCUUGUCUUAGCAAAACUUGAAUGCAAUAAAAUAGUGAGAGUAUCCUGUCCUUA
Molecule: RNA transcript, 3502 nt
Organism: Columba livia (rock pigeon)
Lineage: Eukaryota; Metazoa; Chordata; Aves; Columbiformes; Columbidae
Gene: XRCC6
Gene name: X-ray repair cross complementing 6
Exons: 12
Source: RefSeq, a predicted model, not a curated record